Molecule: ribosomal RNA, 417 nt
Filed under: uncultured prokaryote
Description: partial 16S ribosomal RNA
Source: RNAcentral
CCCUGGGCGUAAUCGCCUCCCCAAUUUUUAAGAAGUUCCCCAUGGGACGGAUCAUCGGUCCCUUCGGCCACGACUUUGAGGCCCAGGUUAUGGGCAAGGCUGAUAACGGAUCUGACGAUGAUUUCGCUCUGGUCAUCUAUGUGCAUCCAUUUAACGAAGGACUGGUCUAUCUUUAUGACAUUCACCGGGAAAUGCAUCAGAUAGCUGAGGGAGGAAGACCCGGUGCCGAAAUCAUCCAUGUAGAGCAUGAAAUUUCUCGAUUUGAAUUCAAGCAACGCGAUAUUGGCCGAUUCCAUAUCGCUGAUGAAAGCGCGUUCAGUGAUCUCAAAGGCUAUGUCAGCUGGACUGAUAUUGUAUUUAUCCGUGAGUUCGAAUAUACUUGCCGUCAGGUUCGGAAAAAUGAAUUGGCGGGAGGGC